This is a long non-coding RNA of Halichondria panicea, 9547 nucleotides long. RefSeq lists it as uncharacterized. The transcript has 9 exons. Lineage: Eukaryota; Metazoa; Porifera; Demospongiae; Suberitida; Halichondriidae. The record is from RefSeq and is a predicted model, not a curated record.
AGAGCCUCCUUCUCUACCGUCCUUUUCUGUCAAUCCACCUCAUGUUGAUGUCUGUUUAGACGCAGUAACUAUGGAUAGUGACUCAGAUACUACAUGUUCAGAUGAUGAGCUUGGGGAUUUGGAAUAUUGGAGGGACGUUGAAUCGGAUAGAUCUAGUGAGGCGUGUAGUGAAAAUGAAAGCCAAGUGGAUGAUACACCAGAAAAACGAAAAACCCUUGCUCUAUCUGUAUGGUUGAUGGGGUUCUUACUGACUCUGCAAGCUAGAUUUUAUCUCCCAGAUAAAUCUGUUGAUCUUUUGAUAAAGUUUCUGUCAGCUUUUCUAGUUAUAUUGGCUCAAUUCUCCCCACCACUACAGGAUCUCUCUAAAGAUUUCCCGUGUUCGCUGUAUUUGUUACGCAAACGAGUUAAGGCAUUAGCCAUUUCAUGAAGCUUGUUGUGUGUGUAAGUUGUUGUAGUGUUUACGAUAAAAAGGACUGUGUAUAUACUGAAGGAACAAAGACUCUUAGCCGACGCUGUUCUCAUGUAAAGUUUCCGAAUCAUCCUCACCAACGAAUCAUCCUCACCAACGAAGACGAGAACCAUGUGGAACCCUGUUAUUAAAGACAGUUCAAUGCAUAAAGUUACUUUAUCCGUGUAAGAUUUAUUGGAAAGUCUUCAGACCCUACUUCAGCGUCCGGAAUUUCAUCAACAUUGUCAGGUGUGGCGUAGUAGGUUGUAGGUUAUCAUCAAAUAAUCUAGAGGAUGUAUACUGUGGACGGAUUUGGAAAAAAUUCCAGCAGUCGUCUUUCUUUGGCUCCUUAUUUUCAUUUGCCUUUAUUCUUAAUAUUGACUGGUUUCAACCGUAUAAACAUACACAAUUGUCUGUUGGUGCUAUUUACUUAACAGUACUUAGUCUACCACGUUUUCUACGCUACAAACGGGAAAAUGUUAUCCUUAUUGGGAUAAUUCCUGGACCACGUUCCUGGACCACGUGAACCUGAGGAUGAAUGAACUUUUAAAAUGACGGUUUCUAUGUCAACAGGGACAUCAAACCGUACGAGGUGCCCUUUUGUGUGUUGCUUGUGACAUACCCGCAGGACGUAAGACUUGUGGGUUUCUUGGACAUAAUGCAAAUUUAGGAUGUUCAAAAUGUCAGAAGGUCUUCCCAGGCGAUAUUACCAACAAAAAUUACUCAGGAUUUAACCGCUCAGAAUGGGAAGCAGCGUAGUAAUAAAGACCACCGAGAUAGUAUUAAAAAGAUUAACAAGUGUAAGACCAAAUCUGACAAAGGUAAAGCAGAAAGUUUGUAUGGCUGCAGGUACUCUGCUCUACUUGAUUUGCCUUACUUCGAUGCCCCUCGAAUGUUGUCCCAUGCACAAUCUCUUUCUUGGGACAUGUAAACGUAUGAUAUCUAUUUGGAUGGAUCGAUCAGAUGGAUCGAUCAGAACUUUAUUGCUAAAAACCAUUAUCGAAAGAUUCAAGAAGUUAUUGAUAGCAUUAGUGUUCCAUCGGACAUAGGUCGCAUUCCUUACAAAAUAGCAUCUGGUUUCUCAGGCUUUAAAGCUGAUCAAUUUAAACUUUGGGCCACUGUUUACUCCAUUCCUGCAAUGUAUUGCCGACUGAGCAUCUAGAAUGCUGGCGGCACUUCGUCUUAGCGUGUCGCAUCUUUUGUAAACAAACAUUAUCUAUCACAAAUGUUAGCAUUGCAGAUGCCUUACUCAUCCGAUUCUGUAAGAAGGUGGAACAUCUGUAUGGCAAAAACUCUAUUACACCUAAUAUGCACCUGCAUGGUCAUUUGAAGUCUUAGAUUAUGGACCAGCACAAGAGUUUUGGCUUUUCUCGUUUGAGCGUUACAAUGGUAUGCUAGGGAAACAGCCUUCAAACAGCAAAUCAAUCGAGCCGCAACUGAUAAAUCGUUUUCUUGCAGACAAUUGUGCUUAUUCAUUUGAAUAUCCUGCUGAGUAUAAAAAAGAGUUGGCUUCUAUAGUAAUCAAAGAGAGACUAUCUGGUUCUGUCAGUGACACACUAACUCCAGAUUUGUUUAAACUACCUUUGAAAUAUAAGAAAGGUGUGUUAGAUUCUGAUUGUAUAGAAGCACUACAAACAUUGUUAUGCAAGAUACAUCCUUCAACGACACACUGUGAAGUUAACUCUGUUUACGAAAAAUAUUCUUCCCUUACUCUUCACGGAAAGGUUUUCGAUUCAGUAGGAACUAAAAGUAGUAGGGUACACUAUGUGAUUCAGGCAAAAUGGGUCGAAGAAUUAUAUGGUAAGCCUCCAACCCCACUUCCUGUUGACCAUCAUCCUUUGUCCAAUCAUCGUCCAAUUGUAGUCCAUCACUAUCUGAAAGUAUUUUACUCUAUUGAUAAUACUCCAGAUCUUUGUAACAAACUUUUUGCAUAUGUUUCGUGGCUGUUUCCACAUCCAGAAAGACAUGCCUAUGGAAAACCUGCUGAAUUAUGGUGCAAUCAACUAUACGAAUCUUUCGGGUCACAUUCGUUCAUUCCACUUGAGGGCCUGGUGUGUAGAUGUGCUCAUGUUAUUGUAGAACAUAACAGUGAACACUUAUCCCUUAUUGUUCCUCUUGUAGAAUAGAGCACCAACUGUAAAAGAACAAUUAUCACUGAGCUGCAUGCAUAAUUAUGUAUAUAUAAUAGACUUAUGCAUGUUGUUUAAUUAUAUUUGAGUGGCAUGUAAUUUUAUAGUAUAUAGCCCAAUACAUACAAUUCAAGCUAGCUAGAGAUCUAGAGCAAUCUCUGGUCAGCUUUUCUUGAGCUGCAUAGAUGUUUUAAGUAUUUUUCCAGCUCUGCUUUCUUCAUUGUAAAUAAUAAGAUCUUUCCAUACAUGUUGAACAGAAUACAUUUUUCUUUUAGCUUCCGUGAUUACCAAUUUUUGUCUUUCUACUUCUUUCUCCAAGCCGAUAGCAUAUCUGGUGGUGUCGAUUAACUUCUUUUGAAGUCGUUGACAGUUUUCACUAACUCCAGACCCAGUCUCGUGUUCAAUACUGCAAUUAUCCGUCUUUUCAGCUAACACUUCAUGAUCACUUUCAAUUGGGAUCACUUUCAAUUGGGACUUCAUUGCCAUAGCAAUAUACUAGCGGUGACGAUGGAGGGGAUCCUGGGCUUCGUGGGCUUCCAAAUGUUUCGUCACUACAUGUACUUGAAACUGAAAGACUAUCAGUGAUUGUAUCCGGCAUAGUAUACACAGCAUUGAUUUCGGUUCCUGCAGGAUUUGUGAUUCAUUGCUAGCUAUAGAUAUUGACGGUAGCACUACCUGGACGCCGAGUUGCGGAACAUAUAAAGGUUCAUUCUUGGAGUCAACAGGUGACAGGUGAGGGUCUAUAUAGAUCUAACUCUCUUAAGCUGAAUUUUCAACAUAUUUUGUCUUUUCCUGUGCUUUCUUUUCGACACCAGUGUCCUGUUUCUGCCCAUUGCAUUGCCGCGCUGUAGUAAUAAUUAUAUCGGUUAUGGCUAGGACCAUAGAUAUGCUAGGACUGGACUACGCAGAGGCAGAGAUACUUUCACGUGAGCCACAGCUGUGCAAUGCUGUGCCACGUUUUAGACUAGACGUCGAGUCGAGUGGAUAUCCAUGGGGCUAGGCUGGAGAGGAUGGUCAGGCUUCUACAGAUAAGUGUAGACCAAUAUUGCUCUCUCCCCAUAUGUGUCAGUUACACUGGCUUUAGGGGUGUGUGGUGUGUAUAGCUAGCUGUUUUCUGUCCCGCCUUUAGCCAAUCAACUGUAUAGGGUAUUUGUUUUCUGUUCCCAUGUGUCAGUUACACUGGCUUAGGCCAGUCGACUUAGGCAGUGGGUGUGUGUGUAAAGCCUUGCUUGCUGUUUCCCGCCUUUAACCUGUCAACUUAGAUGUGUUUGUAUAGCCUUACCUGUUGCUCUCUGUUCCCAUGUGUCAGUUACACUGGCUUAGGCCAGUCGACUUAGGCAGUGGGGUGUGUGUGUAAAGCCUUGCUUGCUGUUUCCCGCCUUUAGCCUGUCAACUUAGAUGUGUUUGUAUAGCCUUACCUGUUGCCAGUCGACUUCGGCAGUGGGGUGUGUGUGUAAAGCUGUUUCCCGCCUUUAGCCUGUCAACUUAGAUGUGUUUGUAUAUGUUCCCAUGUGUCAGUUACACUGGCUUAGGCCAGUCGACUUAGGCAGUGGGGUGUGUGUGUAAAGCCUUGCUUGCUGUCAACUUAGGUGUGUGUAUAGCCCUACCUGUUGCUCUCUGUUCCCAGAUGGGUGUGUGUAUAGCUUUGCUUGCAGCCAUGCUACGUAAGCGUGUGUGUAUGAUUAUAUAGCCUUACCUGUUACUCAUGUGUCAGUUACACUGGUUUUAGCCUGUCAACUUGACAGCGGGGUAUGUGUGUAAAGUAGCCACACUGCUGGACUCAUGUUGACUUGGAACAACUGAAAGCUAACUAUACUACUGGCUCAUGUAGCUACCAUGCAUGGUAAAACAUAAGGAGGCGGAAAAAGGGCGCCCAAUAAUUGAAGCAGAGCAUCUGAGAUUAUAGAGUAAUAAUAUUAAUAUUAUUUGUUAUUAUGACAUCAUUAAUUUUCAGAUUUCUAGGGGAGAAUAAUCCCAGGGCGCUCCCCUCUCUGACCCUGGACUAGUCUGUGUGUCUAUGUAGAUUGCUACAGCUGCUCAAGAAUCAAUGAAGUGCAAAUAUACCGGAUUAAUGCUGCAGAAUACUUGUACGCUUGGUUCCAGCUUUAUUUUUGAUUGUGUUUUUUUUUUUGAAAGUUGAAGGAUAUACUCCCAUAACGGGCCCUCCCACUAGAGCUCUAUAUAAAGGACACUAGCUAUGACCAUCUAAGUCCUUGAUGGCGGGACAAGCUUGGUGUUCCCCCGGUCCCAGAGCCAACUGACUAGCCUCGAUCCCAGGCCGCACUUCCUGGAAGGAGGCUACCGACCACCUUACAGACAUACAGGAAACCACACCCACAUUUUAUCCACACCCACAUUUUAUGUCCGUACUGUUGUCAUACUCGCUUACUGCUGCAUGCAAUGAAUGUUUGAUUUCAGCAAGUUAUAAGUACAGCUUCUUGAAAAAAGACGACAAAAAUAUAGACAGUGCAUGAACAUACUAUAGUUAUCUAGUUACAUUCUUAUGAUGUGAAAAUCAAGCUUAGUCAAGCAUAAUUAAAGCAUAAUUAUGAUAGGCUGAUUCUUAAAAAGGAUUUUAUCUCACCGCUGGCCGAGCAUUUAAAAUGAUAAAAACGGGUGGGCGUAAUAACCGUGGUUGUUAUGGCAACACAUGUUGCACCAUUUUAUUCCUUGUUUAUAUGGGCAUUUUAUUGGUAUAUGGCAUUUUAUUGCAGAAUUUACAGACAUUUCACGGUCUGAGUAUGUAACUCUGGAGCUUCAAUUGUGCUUUGUACAUUCCCCAACUUCUGCUUUGCUUCUUCUGCUGUUAGGUAGAAAGCAGGAUCAUAAACAGCUGAAACUAGAACUGACCAUGUCCGGGUCAUGCCAAAUCUUGAAAUAACGUGUGGUAGAAAAUCUUCUUAGAUGAGCCUGAUAUACGUGUGUACGUAUGUAUAGUUAUCACGUAUGUAUAGUUUUAAUUAUAGAGUAGCUAAUAAUACUAUGUUCAAUUAGGGAUUAUAAUCAAUCAAUAACGUACAAUGCUUGCAGUGUAUCCAUGCAUGAUAUUGUAUAGUAAAACUUCUUGUACCUGUAGUUCCUCUGCUUGAGGCAGUAGUCUCUACAGCAUUGUGAGUUCCUCUCUCAAUGUUUCUCUCUCAAUGUGUCUGUUGGACCCAUAUGCACCCAUAUGCUCAUGUCUUUCAAGUAACUUGGUUCUGAUUUCGAAAUUUUUCUGGCAUGGGCUGUGGUCAGAGGAGGUAAGCCAAUGUCAACAUCACGUGGGCUUAUGUUUUACAUCCUCGCGCCCCAGACGAAAUGACGAAAUGGCUUGAAAGCAGAGAUCCACGAAAACUUUGACCUUAAAAUAUAAAUUAGCCUCAACAAUAGCCGCGGUUUAUUUGUGCCAAAUGUUUGAGCCACAAAAGCUAGGCAGUACUAGCUGUACUGUGUCAAUAUGCAGCGAACAAGGGGAUCUCCUACUGGACUGACCCCUUCACAGCUACCUAAAAGGCGUGUGCAGCGUUCUGAUAAUGCUAGAAGACGCAGGCUGUUUGAUCCAGGCUGUUUGAUCCAGAGACUGUACCAACCCUGCCUGAACCAUUGCCUGAACCAGUACCUGAAUCAUCUGCUUUCUCACAACACAAAGUUGUCAAGAAUCCAUUGUGUUCUCAUUUGUAUCCUCCAACCAGUGGGUGGUCUUUAACAGAAGAUAAAGCACUAACAGAAUUUAUUGGUGACCAUCAAAAAAGAGCACACUUAAAGCUGGAACCAAGCGUACAAGUGGUGCCUGUCGUACCCGAGUGACAAAGUCACUGACUGUGACCUUUCAAAAACCGUCUAUGGCCAAGAAAUACUUUACAGAUGGGGUAGCAGAUCAGCUCCCUAUAGGGCACGUAUACUAAUGUAGUGACCAUUGACACCUUGAGUGAGAUGGACCAAACCCUACUUCUUGUUCCAAGUUUGGUACCAAGCGAUUACAUACAAUAUUCAGCCCAGGGAAUGCAGCAGCUGAGUGACACAGGCAGGACCAACUUUUUUUGUACAACCGAGGUCAGAUGGAGAAGAUUCUGUUUUUCCAACAAAGCAACUGAUUACUGGCCUGUUUAAAUAUACUGUCAACUUCUUCAACACUACUCAUAAAACUCAGGUUGCCUGCCCAGCAGAGUAUCGACUAUGGUUGGAGUCAAUGUAUACACUCUUUGGAAAGAAGUGGUUGAACAUGCAUUCUGGUCCUAUGUGGAAGGUGGAAACAACGAACGUGAAAGUGAAAGGACCUGCUUCAAUUCCCAGGAAGCAAGUGAUUGAAGAUGAUGUUGUCAUGAGCAUGCUCAUUCGCAUAAUUAUGUAUUGAAUAUAUAGCUUCUUUCACUGUGGAAGCUGGUGUUCAGGUAUAUUAUAAAGGUCUACGUUUGUUAAUGUUUUAGGGAUCGGUACUUGAUGAAGCGUGCAAGGUUCUACCAAAAUCAGAUGGGUGUAGUUCCUGGUUUAACGGAGUCAAUGAGAGGUGGAGACGUAGACCUUGAAAAUGGCGAACUAGCUAAACGUACAAGGAAUACCGUACCCUCGCGAAAAUAAGCCCAUCUUGAAUAAACGCCCAUCCCCUCUUUUGCUUCGAAGUUCUUGCACGAGGGUAUUUUCACUCGAUUAUAAGCCCACCCAGAAUAAGAAGUUGAGCAUGCGCAGUAGCUGAAUGCCACAUGUUCACUAUUAAUUUUAGUGAAGAAAGUAAGUUUUAGGUAGUAGCUAGUAAGACUAUACUCCUUGCUGGACCAAGAUCAGACAUUAUAACUUUCUCUGUAUGGAUCUGUUUGCCCCCUGAAGAUGUAUAUGCAGGGAACAAGUAGUCCUAUAUGCUGAGAAAGGAAAACACAAGUCCAAGAAAGUUAUCACACAGGCUAAUUUUGCAGGUUACCUUGCCUUGGUUUUCUGAAACAAAGUACCUGAUAGCUGCUCUGUAGGAGUAUGACCUACCAUCCUUCGAGAAGUUUCUGCUACAUCUAACAUCAACGAAUAGAGCCAGAGUCCACUUCUUAUGUUCAUUCUCUUGUCAUGCUUUAAUCAUACUCAUGCAUUAGUUUAUAACAUUGUUGUUGUAUAAAAUGUUCAUACUAUGUAUUAAAAUGAAAAUACAAUAAAUUAAUAAAGAAUUGGCAUAGAGCAAAGUGUAAACCUCGAUUUGAGGCAGGGGGUGGGCGUAAGUUCGAAUGAAAACUCGCCGUUCGCGAUUAAACGCCCAGUCCCCUAAUAAGCCUAGACUUCUUGCAGAAUAGGGUGGGCGUAUUUUCGCGAGGGUACGGUACUGCAAAACGGUUGUGUCGACAGCGUAGCCUCACUGUGGUAGACUUGGGCAUCAUCAAGAAGGAAUGGUUCAAAGCAAACACUUGUAAAUCAUUAUUUCUUUUGAAGUUAUGAAGAAGUCGAACGACAAACUUCAGGAGAAGCUCUCCUCUGGAAAGAAGACAAGCGAUAAAGAUCUCUUUUCGCUUAGCUGGACAGUCGAUGAGCUGAGUAGGCUGAACCGUGAUGGUCGUGACAUGUAUGUUGAGUUGCUGUCUGAUUUGCUCAAAGACAAAACAACUGAUGUCAUUCAAAGAAACAUGGCACGCAGACUCUCUACCCUCUACCAAGUGCAUCUCAAGACGUGGCUGCGUCUCACGUCUUGGUGACGCUUUACCCAUAAGUUGCAUUCCCUACAAAGGCUCGCACCCACAUCAACGGUGUCAUCGAACAGAGGAAGGCUGCAAUGGGGCAUUCAGAGUCAAGGGGUUCACACGUCCUGUGUCAGUUCUGAAGCUGAGGUCUGAUGCACGUAACAAGUUUUCAUCGUAUCUACAAUGCUCACGCCCCAAAAUGCUUACAUCCAACUCCUUGUGUCUCCCCUCUCCUCCUGUGUGAAAUUCAUUCGUGGAGACAUUGUGGAGCUAGUGGGGAUGAUGUUUCUAGUGGGGAUGAUGUUAUAGAUCGAUUGAGGAAAGAAUGGUUGAAACCAAACUAAGAUCGAGGCACAACUUGAGUUUCAGUAUCAGGAACGGAACUCACAUGUGGCCAUGAGAGGGCUCAUGUAUUAAAGGUAUAUAUAUUGAUUAUUUCCGUAUCUGGAUUUUUUUCCAGAGAUUUGCAACUUCCACUCGUAUAAGGAGGCACUAGAAGAUCCUGAGUCAGGUAUCCGUGAGAGAUGCCGAGAGGUUGUUGUUCAGCAAAGAAAUGCUCCAGUUUAUGCGAAAGAAGAAUUAUAAGUUUAAGGGUGACUAUAUUGAGGUCGUACUAAACUGGAGGAGAUUGUCAGAUGAGCGUGGUAUUUCUCAGCUGAAGCGGAGCAAAUACAACUAUGAGAUGCUCAACUUCCUAUUGGAUGACUUAAUGCCGUGGCAUAGGAGUUUGAGAGGUGUUAGAGGAAUAUCAAGGGAAACUCUAACGACCACCCUCGAAAGCAGAGAGUGGAUGAGGAGAAGAUGUCUCGGAGAGUAUUCCUCUCGAGCAUCCUCUCGAGCAUCCUCGUGCCACCUCAACCGACGACGUGGAAUGCGUACUUAGGACUUAGGAGCAUGGUGGGAGACCACUUCACCUCCAAGGCAGUAAUGCUUACGUGGCGAAAGAUAUGCAAUGAGUUUAGCAAAAGAAUUGACUUCAAUGCAUAGCCGUUUCUACAAAGGUGAAAUGCAAUCGUUUGAUGUACCUGGCAGCAGCAAGUCAACCUCUAACCCCAGAAAUCAAAGGAGCAGGACUGUGGAACAGCCUGGGAAACUAGCUUCUGAUAGAGCUUCAUUACUUAAAACUGGCCAUGGAUCAAUCCGCAGACAAUUCCAUGCUGUGCCAACAGAUGUACCUCCACCACCCACUGCUACCCUGGUGGAACUUAUCUCAAAUGAACUAAUGUUUAUGUUAUAGCCCCUGGCGGAACUUAUCUCAUCUCAAAUGAACAUGCAUACUAUUAUCAUGCAUACUAUUAUAUCAUGCAUACUAUUAUACAACAGUCAUGCUCCACAUU